This 64-nucleotide transfer RNA is filed under the name Gryllotalpa orientalis (oriental mole cricket). RNAcentral describes it as "tRNA-Thr". It matches the Rfam family "tRNA". Rfam says of the family: Transfer RNA (tRNA) molecules are approximately 80 nucleotides in length. Lineage: Eukaryota; Metazoa; Arthropoda; Insecta; Orthoptera; Gryllotalpidae. The record is from RNAcentral.
GUUUUAAUAGUUUAAAUAAAAACAUUGGUCUUGUAAACCAAAAUUAAAAUAUCUUUUUAAAACU